AUUGAACGCUGGCGGCAUGCCUUACACAUGCAAGUCGAACGGUAACAGGUCUUCGGAUGCUGACGAGUGGCGAACGGGUGAGUAAUACAUCGGAACGUGCCCGAUCGUGGGGGAUAACGGAGCGAAAGCUUUGCUAAUACCGCAUACGAUCUACGGAUGAAAGCAGGGGACCGCAAGGCCUUGCGCGGACGGAGCGGCCGAUGGCAGAUUAGGUAGUUGGUGGGAUAAAAAGCUUACCAAGCCGACGAUCUGUAGCUGGUCUGAGAGGACGACCAGCCACACUGGGACUGAGACACGGCCCAGACUCCUACGGGAGGCAGCAGUGGGGAAUUUUGGACAAUGGGCGCAAGCCUGAUCCAGCCAUGCCGCGUGCAGGAUGAAGGCCUUCGGUUGUAAACUGCUUUUGUACGGAACGAAAAGACUCCUCUAAUAAAGGGGUCCAUGACGGUACCGUAAGAAUAAGCACCGGCUAACUACGUGCCAGCAGCCGCGGUAAGCAACGG
RNAcentral lists this ribosomal RNA (503 nucleotides) under uncultured bacterium. RNAcentral describes it as "bacterial SSU rRNA". It matches the Rfam family "Bacterial small subunit ribosomal RNA", at positions 30 to 528 of the family's 1533-position model. The record is from RNAcentral.